Molecule: long non-coding RNA, 530 nt
Filed under: Salmo trutta (river trout)
Lineage: Eukaryota; Metazoa; Chordata; Actinopteri; Salmoniformes; Salmonidae
Description: lncRNA (ENSSTUG00000007528.1)
Source: RNAcentral
GAAAUAUGUGACUAGUAGGCCCAGGUGCAACAUUGCUCAGCUAUUGUUGCGAACUCUGCCAUCCCGCGCCCGGCCGUUCACACACAGGCAUGUUGUUUACAAGCUGUUUUGAAGUCUUGGAUGGACACAUCUGUGAGAAGAUCAAAGUAAUGUGAGCCAAAUUGUAUGUUUUUCCAGUGCAUUAUAUGUGCCCUGAGGCAACUUGGCACCCCUCUUGUUCCUCGGUGGAUGGGUAUCACAUCAGCUGAGGUAUUUCGAUUAGCCCUGAUGGAUAAUUACAGGAACUGGUAUUGCGUUGUAUUUGAGUCAUCAUGUACUGUUGAUUUGUGUAUUAUCUGCACCAGACCUCAACAUAGCUGUUUGACGGACCACAAUGGCUGUGUACUCCAGACACCUGGAUCUCUCCUUGCCUUGACAAUACAGUUUACAAUUAAACGUGAGAAAGACCCAAACAUCUAAUAAUACUUAGCACCAACCAGGAGUUUCUUUGUUGAACUGUUUCUGUUCCUGUUGAGUGUUAUAUCACUGAG